UACGUAGGCAGCAAGCGUUGUUCGGAAUUACUGGGCGUAAAGCGUGCGUAGGCGGUGCCUCAAGUUUGGUGUGAAAUCUCCCGGCUCAACCGGGAGGGUGCGCCGAAAACUGAGGUGCUCGAGUGUGGGAGAGGUAGGCGGAAUUCCUGGUGUAGCGGUGGAAUGCGCAGAUAUCAGGAGGAACACCAAUAGCGAAGGCAGCUCGCUGGGACGGUACUGACGCUAAGGCGCGAAAGCGUGGGGAGCGAACAGG
Molecule: ribosomal RNA, 253 nt
Filed under: uncultured bacterium
Lineage: Bacteria
Description: partial 16S ribosomal RNA
Rfam family: Bacterial small subunit ribosomal RNA
Source: RNAcentral